Molecule: ribosomal RNA, 619 nt
Filed under: uncultured Bacilli bacterium
Lineage: Bacteria; Bacillati; Bacillota; Bacilli
Description: bacterial SSU rRNA
Rfam family: Bacterial small subunit ribosomal RNA
Source: RNAcentral
GAUGAACGCCGGCGGUGUGCCUAAUACAUGCAAGUCGAACGCGUUGGCCCAACUGAUUGAACGUGCUUGCACGGACUUGACGUUGGUUUACCAACGAGUGGCGGACGGGUGAGUAACACGUAGGUAACCUGCCCCAAAGCGGGGGAUAACAUUUGGAAACAGAUGCUAAUACCGCAUAACAAUUUGAAUCGCAUGAUUCAAAUUUAAAAGAUGGCUUCGGCUAUCACUUUGGGAUGGACCUGCGGCGCAUUAGCUUGUUGGUAGGGUAACGGCCUACCAAGGCUGUGAUGCGUAGCCGAGUUGAGAGACUGAUCGGCCACAAUGGAACUGAGACACGGUCCAUACUCCUACGGGAGGCAGCAGUAGGGAAUCUUCCACAAUGGGCGCAAGCCUGAUGGAGCAACACCGCGUGAGUGAAGAAGGGUUUCGGCUCGUAAAGCUCUGUUGUUAGAGAAGAACAUGCGUGAGAGCAACUGUUCACGCAGUGACGGUAUCUAACCAGAAAGUCACGGCUAACUACGUGCCAGCAGCCGCGGUAAUACGUAGGUGGCAAGCGUUAUCCGGAUUUAUUGGGCGUAAAGCGAGCGCAGGCGGUUUGAUAAGUCUGAUGUGAAAGCCU